GUAGUCCACGCCGUAAACGAUGGGCGCUAGGUGUGGGGGGUGUCGACUCCCUCCGUGCCGAAGCUAACGCAUUAAGCGCCCCGCCUGGGGAGUACGGCCGCAAGGCUAAAACUCAAAGGAAUUGACGGGGACCCGCACAAGCAGCGGAGCAUGUGGUUUAAUUCGACGCAACGCGAAGAACCUUACCUGGGCUUGACAUGCACAGGAAUGUCGUGGAAACACGGCAGCCCUUCGGGGCCUGUGCACAGGUGGUGCAUGGCUGUCGUCAGCUCGUGUCGUGAGAUGUUGGGUUAAGUCCCGCAACGAGCGCAACCCUUGUCCCUAGUUGCCAGCACGUAAUGGUGGGAACUCUAGGGAGACCGCCGGUGACAAACCGGA
This 378-nucleotide ribosomal RNA is filed under the name uncultured bacterium. RNAcentral's name for it is "bacterial SSU rRNA". It matches the Rfam family "Bacterial small subunit ribosomal RNA", at positions 790 to 1167 of the family's 1533-position model. The record is from RNAcentral.